This 64-nucleotide transfer RNA is filed under the name Barbronia yunnanensis. RNAcentral's name for it is "tRNA-Trp". Lineage: Eukaryota; Metazoa; Annelida; Clitellata; Hirudinida; Salifidae. The record is from RNAcentral.
AAGAUUUUAAGUUAAUUAAACUAUUAGCCUUCAAAGCUAAAUAUAGGACAAUACCUAAAUCUUG